Papaver somniferum (opium poppy) is the source of this 179-nucleotide long non-coding RNA. RefSeq lists it as uncharacterized. The transcript is spliced from 3 exons. The record is from RefSeq and is a predicted model, not a curated record. Lineage: Eukaryota; Viridiplantae; Streptophyta; Magnoliopsida; Ranunculales; Papaveraceae.
GUAGAAGUCCUUCAGGUGCAAAUUAAUCUUCAGGUUUCAAUUGAAGUUCCCUUCUUUUUAAUAUUGUGUGGAAGACCUCCAGCCUCCAGGUGCAGUAAUUUCUCAAAGAUCUUCAGGUUACUCUCUCUGAUGUGUCCAGUAUGUCAAGUGUACAAGAACAAGAGUUACAAGACCAUUAU